AGAGUUGAUCCUGGCUCAGGAUGAACGCUAGCGACAGGCUUAACACAUGCAAGUCGAGGGGCAUCACGAGAGUAGCAAUACAACUGGUGGCCGACCGGCGCACGGGUGAGUAACGCGUAUGCAACCUACCUAUCAGAGGGGAAUAACCCGGCGAAAGUCGGACUAAUACCGCAUAAAACAGGGGCACCGCAUGGUGAUAUUUGUUAAAGAAAUUCGCUGAUAGAUGGGCAUGCGUUCCAUUAGGUAGUUGGUGAGGUAACGGCUCACCAAGCCGACGAUGGAUAGGGAACUGGGAGGUUGGUCCCCCACACUGGUACUGAGACACGGACCAGACUCCUACGGGAGGCAGCAGUGAGGAAUAUUGGUCAAUGGGCGGGAGCCUGAACCAGCCAAGUCGCGUGAAAGGAAGAAGGAUCUAUGGUUCGUAAACUUCUUUUGCAGGGGAAUAAAGUGCAGGACGUGUCCUGUUUUGUAUGUGCCCUGAGAAUAAGGAUCGGCUAACUCCGUGCCAGCAGCAGC
RNAcentral lists this ribosomal RNA (519 nucleotides) under uncultured bacterium. RNAcentral's name for it is "bacterial SSU rRNA". It matches the Rfam family "Bacterial small subunit ribosomal RNA", at positions 8 to 518 of the family's 1533-position model. The record is from RNAcentral.